UUGUAAAAACUGAAGAAUUUUGA
Molecule: non-coding RNA, 23 nt
Filed under: Cricetulus griseus (Chinese hamster)
Lineage: Eukaryota; Metazoa; Chordata; Mammalia; Rodentia; Cricetidae
Source: RNAcentral